AUUGCCCCUAGAGGCAUUUCAGGUGUGGCUUCUGUGUUCCAUGUGUGUCAGUAGGUGGCACAGAGGAGAGAGGAUGUUUAUGCCUAUGCUCAGUGUUCUGAGCUAUGAACAUCUGAAUGACUAGUAAUCUAAAAUU
Small nucleolar RNA from Acomys russatus (golden spiny mouse), 136 nucleotides. RefSeq annotates it as small nucleolar RNA SNORA17. The transcript has a single exon. The record is from RefSeq and is a predicted model, not a curated record. NCBI's taxonomy places the organism in Eukaryota, Metazoa, Chordata, Mammalia, Rodentia, Muridae.